RNAcentral lists this transfer RNA (74 nucleotides) under Parcubacteria group bacterium. RNAcentral describes it as "tRNA-Pro". It matches the Rfam family "tRNA". From Rfam's summary of the family: Transfer RNA (tRNA) molecules are approximately 80 nucleotides in length. Their secondary structure includes four short double-helical elements and three loops (D, anti-codon, and T loops). The record is from RNAcentral.
CGGGAUGUAGUAUAAUGGCAGUAUCUGCCCUUCGGGAGGGCAUGACCCGGGUUCGAUUCCCGGCAUCCCGACAA